Molecule: long non-coding RNA, 2036 nt
Filed under: Mus pahari (shrew mouse)
Lineage: Eukaryota; Metazoa; Chordata; Mammalia; Rodentia; Muridae
Description: predicted gene, 16794 (MGP_PahariEiJ_G0002310.1)
Source: RNAcentral
AGAGAAGACAGAGAGAGCAGGGCGAUGGAAUGGACCAAAAGCAUAUGGCCAAGAGAAGUGCCCCCUGAGGACAGACUGAUAGACCAAGAACAGCCCGGGCAAGACUCAAACACUAGAUCUACGGACUUUGUCAUCUUCCUGUGACAGCUGAUGGCAACCCAAAGAAGACAGGUCAUUGAAACCAAAAUUACCUUCUAAUCUUCCUCCAGAAUUGUAAAAGGAGAAAAAAUUUGAUGUUCUUAAAGAUGUAUCCAUUAGCCUUAAUUUACUCUCAAGGACCCACUCUAGUACUAUUUGUUGUAGCUGUUAUUUAGUUGCUAGGACCUGAAAUCAGGACCUAGAACAUACUGGCAUAUCUGUUGGAACCUACUUCUUCAGGGCUCCAGCUUAUACAGAAGACAAGCGAAUCUCCUAGCCUCGCAGGACUGAGCAACUACUAGACUCUUGGACUUCCCAUUCACAGCUGCCUAUUGGGUUGGUUGGACUGGAGACUCAAGUCAUUCCAAUAAAUUCCCUUAAUAUAUACAUUCCAUAAGUUCUGUGACUUUAGAGAAUCCUGACUAAUUAAUGAAAAAGGAUUUGAUACUACAAAUGACCCGUUUCUUACCAUACUUUUGCCUUAAUUUUUUCUUUUUAAAAAUCUGGGACAUGAUAUCAUUUGCAGCCAUGGCUGACACUGAACUCAGGUUCCUCCUGUCCUGGACUUUCGGAGUGCUGGGAUCACAGGCAAACAUCACCACAGUUAACUACCUUCGUCUAUUCCUAUUAGAACCCGUUUAUAAUAAUUGCCUAGUUCAUAAUAUUCUGUUUCCUCCGUUUUGCAUUAUUCAUUCCAAUUUUACUACAAUAAAGACUUUUUCUACUUACUUGUUUUGAAAGUAUUUGAUUAUAUAAGUAUGAAGGUACAUUUAUUUUAUUUCAUGGGUUAUAAUUAAUUAUGAUCAACAUUUUUCUAAAGCUAUCCGAAGCUAGGACAGCUUUCUAAUUUUCUGACAGAAAACUAACUAUUGUGAUUCAUAGAAUAUUUGCUUAUUUGCUAUCGGCCAAUGAAGUAAUUUCAUAAUUGCUAACAAAUAUUUCAGAAAAGUAAAUGUUCAGAUUUUUUUUUUUUUUUUUUUUUGGUAAGCUAACUCAAAAGUUUUUCACACUGAAAACAAAAAGAAAGGGUUCAAAGGAAGGAAGGAAGGGAAGGAAGACCUUACAUACUUCUGAGUAUAUAGAAUAAAUAUUUCACUAGGCUUAGGUAAAAUAUGUGCAUUAAUAUGAUAAAAAUUAUUAUAUAUAUUUUACAUUUUAUAGAUAACAACCUCACAGUAUAUACUUCUAUUAUAAGAAUAAAUUUAAUACCCUUUUCUUUAUAUAUUUUGGUCAGAAUAGGUCUCAAGCCAGCAGUAUUGUUCACCCAUUCAAUAAUCCCACAUUCAUCAUUCAGUGGAAUAACUGCAUAUGUUCGGAUAUGAAGUUCUCUUCGACGUGAUUCUGCAUCUUUUCUUAAACUCUAUGGAAAACAAAGACAGAAAUAAAAAAAUUUAGGAUUCAGAUUCCUAUUAUGUCAAAUUUAUCAAAAUAUUGUUCAUUUCCUAGUAAAAGUGCUGAUGGCAGCCUGUAAUGAAUAAUUCUGAAAGUUAGAGGAAGAAGUUAUGGGAUCAUAGCUAUUCUACUUCUAAACCUUAAAAUGCCUUGGAAUAGCUUCUCUUUAGUUCUCUACUAUGCAUAUAAUAGAAUAUUACACUUGAAAAAGCAGUAUGAUAGCCAUAUCAACAACAAAACACUAUCGUUUUCUACAGCAUUACAGAUAAUGAUUAACAAUAAGUACUUAAGCACAGAAACUAAUGUUUACUUUUAUCUAAGAAUUGUUAUUUUACUUUCCUCAGAUAAUGUCUUAAGGAAUCAUACUAUCUACCAAAAAAAAAAAAUUCCCUAAUCCUGUAAUGUAUGUAAGUCUGUGUAUAAAUAGAUGUAAUUAACCUUUUAUUCUGAGACUAGGUCUUGCUUGCCAAACUUACUAAUAAAAAAUGAAUUCCAUUAGUCUACAA